GUCAGAUAGUGCAGUGGUUAGCACUCUGGGUUGUAUUUGCAAGGUCGCCAGUUCGAGUCUAGUAGAUGACA
Non-coding RNA from Gigaspora rosea, 71 nucleotides. The record is from the annotation of a GenBank genome assembly. Lineage: Eukaryota; Fungi; Glomeromycota; Glomeromycetes; Diversisporales; Gigasporaceae.